Molecule: microRNA, 22 nt
Filed under: Capitella teleta
Lineage: Eukaryota; Metazoa; Annelida; Polychaeta; Capitellidae
Description: Cte-Mir-242_3p* (star (passenger))
Source: RNAcentral
UGUCCAUGACGCCUAGGCAUAC